CCUACGGGAGGCAGCAGUGGGGAAUAUUGGACAAUGGGGGCAAGCCUGAUCCAGCCAUGCCGCGUGAGUGAUGAAGGCCUUAGGGUUGUAAAGCUCUUUCAGUAGGGAAGAUAAUGACGGUACCUACAGAAGAAGCCCCGGCUAACUUCGUGCCAGCAGCCGCGGUAAU
Molecule: ribosomal RNA, 169 nt
Filed under: uncultured Alphaproteobacteria bacterium
Lineage: Bacteria; Pseudomonadati; Pseudomonadota; Alphaproteobacteria
Description: partial 16S ribosomal RNA
Rfam family: Bacterial small subunit ribosomal RNA
Source: RNAcentral